ACUGAAGCUCGCGAGAGGAUCCUGGGGGCAGGCGCGUCGCGGUGGCAGUGUUUCUUGGGUGUGCGGGGCCGGGCGCCCCGUAGCCUCUGCAUUCAAAAUCCAUGGCUAAUUUUGCCAGUAAGAGGCCAUGCUGAGUAAUUGACCUGGAAACAAAAUUAAAAGUGAUUAAGGACUGUGAAGGUGGAAAAUCAGGGAUGGUUAUUGCUCACCAGUCAGGCAUGUCCCGUUUUACCAUAGCUGCCAUCCUAAAGAACAAGAGCAAAGUGAUAGAAGCUGUUAAAGGAUCUGCUUCAUUGAAGGCAAUGAGACUAACAAAAAUUUGAGAAGGGCCAAUAUCAGAUAUGGAUAAUAUCUGAUAUUGACCUAGAUUGAAGACCAGACACACAAGCAUGUCCCUCAGCACCAUGACAAUCACAGCUAAAGCAAAAAGCUUGUUUGUUACGUAGAUAGAAAAGGCUGGACCUGACUAUAUUGUUGAAUUUAUUGCUAGCUCUGGGUGGUUUAAAUGAUUCGAGAAUUGUUACUCAUUACACAAUUGUGAAAGUGAGUGCUAAGUCUACAAGUGCUGAUGUGAAGGCAGCUGAAUAAUUUUUGGAAACUCUAGAUAAGCUGAUUGUGGGGGAAAAUUACUUGCCAGAGCAAAUCUUUAAUAUGGAUCAAGGCUCCCUAUUCUGGAAAAAGAUGCCGGAAGGGACUGUCAUCCAUAAAGAGGCCAAGUCAGUGGCAGGUUUCACGGCUUUGAAGGACUGGCUAACAAUGUUUGGGGGCGAUGUUGCUGGCCACAAAUUAAAACCCUUUGUGAUUUGACACAGUGAGAACCCCAGGGCCUUCAAGCAUAUCAGUAAGCACACACUGCCGGUGUACUACAUGAGCAAUAACAAGUCAUGGAUGACCCAGCUUCUCUUCCAAUAUGCCCUCCUGAAUUGCUAUGCCAGUGAAAUGGAGAAGUACUGUUUGGAGAAUAACAUACCUUUCAAGAUUUUGCUUGUUGUUGAUAAUGCUCCUGUACAUCCUUUUAUUGGUGAUCUUUGUUUUAAUAUCAAACUGGUGUUUCUCCCUCUAAACAUCAACUCUUUGAUCCAACCAGUGGAUCAAGGAGUUAGAGCAGUUUUUAAGGCUCACUACCUAAAGCGGACGUUGCCCCAGGCUAUUGCUGCUAUUAUCUGAGGGAGACACUGAGAAGACACUAAUGCAAUUCUGGGAGGAUUACAGCAUCUAAGACUGCAUCAAGAACCUUGCUUAGGCUUAGGGUGAUGUCACCAAUGAGUGUAUGAAUGGCAUCUGGAAGGAGACACUCGAGGUUUGUUCAUGACUUCAGAGGAUUUGCCAUGGAUGACCAGGUUGCAAAAAUCCACAAGGCUGUGGUUGAGAUGGCAAACAGCUUUAACCUGGGUGUGAAUGAGGAUGACAUUGAGGAGCUCCUAGCGGUGGUUCCUGAGGAAUUGACUAAUGAGUUGUUGGAAAUAGAACAGGGACACAGCUGAAGAAGAGGCAAGAGAAAACAAAACUGCAGAAAACCACCAUCAAGAAAAUUUGCAGUAGGGAGUUUAGCAGAAGCUUUUGCAGACCUCAAGAAACUCCUUAAAAAGUUUGGGCCGGGCGCGGUGGCUCACUCCUGUAAUCCCAGCACUUUGGGAGGCCAUGGUGGGAAGAUCACGAGAUCAGGAGUUCAAGACCAGCCAGACCGACAUGGUGAAACUCCAUCUCUACUAAAAAUACAAAAAAAAAAAAAAAAAAGCCUGGGUGUGGUGGCACGCACCUGUAAUCCCAGCUACUAGGGAGGCUGAGGCAGGAGAAUCACUUGAACCUGGGAGGCAGAGGUUGCAGUGAGCCGAGAUCGUGCCACUGCACUCCAGCCUGGGUGACAGAGCAAGACUCAUCUCAAAAAAAAAAAAAAAAAAAAAAUUGAAAACAUGGACCCCAACACCAAAAGGUUUUCAUUAAUAGAGAGGAAUGUUCAUGGUGCAUUAUUUGUUUACUGGCAAAUCUAUGAUGAAAAAAGGAAAUACCAAGCAAACCACCAUGGACAUAUUUCUGAAAAGAGGGACACCUCCUUAAGAAGAGUCCCAGGCAGGUCCUUCAUGGGUAUUUCAGAAGAGGGCAUUGCUAUCAUAGGAGAUGACAGCUCUGUGCAUGUUACUGCCCGGGAAGACCUUCCAGUGGGACAAGAUGUGAAGGUGGAAGAUGAUGAUAUUGAUGAUUCUGACCUGUGUAUGCCUAGGCUAAUGUACUUGUGUCUUAGUUUUUAACAAAAAGUUGAAGUAAAUAAUUUAAAAGAAAAAUGCUUAUAAAAAUAAAAUAUUUUUGUAUAGCAUUACAGUGUGUGUUUUAAUCUAAGUGUUAUUACAAAAGUCAGAAAAUUUUAAAAGUUUAGUAAAAAGUUAACAUUAGGUUAACUUAUUGAAGAAAGAAAUUUUUAAGUAAAUUUAGUUUACUCUAAGUGUACAGUAUUU
This 2453-nucleotide long non-coding RNA is filed under the name Homo sapiens (human). RNAcentral describes it as "non-protein coding lnc-ZNF852-2:5". Lineage: Eukaryota; Metazoa; Chordata; Mammalia; Primates; Hominidae. The record is from RNAcentral.